RNAcentral lists this ribosomal RNA (500 nucleotides) under uncultured bacterium. RNAcentral describes it as "partial 16S ribosomal RNA". It matches the Rfam family "Bacterial small subunit ribosomal RNA", at positions 29 to 523 of the family's 1533-position model. The record is from RNAcentral.
AUUGAACGCUGGCGGCAUGCCUUACACAUGCAAGUCGAACGGCAGCACGGGAGCAAUCCUGGUGGCGAGUGGCGAACGGGUGAGUAAAGUAUCGGAACGUGCCCAGUCGUGGGGGAUAACGUAGCGAAAGUUACGCUAAUACCGCAUACGAUCUAUGGAUGAAAGCGGGGGAUCGCAAGACCUCGCGCGAUUGGAGCGGCCGAUAUCAGAUUAGGUAGUUGGUGGGGUAAAGGCUCACCAAGCCGACGAUCUGUAGCUGGACUGAGAGGACGACCAGCCACACUGGGACGGAGACACGGCCCAGACUCCUACGGGAGGCAGCAGUGGGGAAUUUUGGACAAUGGGCGAAAGCCUGAUCCAGCCAUGCCGCGUGCAGGAUGAAGGCCUUCGGGUUGUAAACUGCUUUUGUACGGAACGAAAAGGUUUGGGCUAAUAAGCUGAGCUCAUGACGGUACCGUAAGAAUAAGCACCGGCUAACUACGUGCCAGCAGCCGCAGUAA